GUCUACAGCCAUGCUACCCUGAAUGUGCCUGAUCUUGUCUGAUCUUGGAAGCUAAGAAGGGUCAGGCCUGGUUAGUACUUGGAUGAGAGACCACCUAGGAAUGUCAGGUGCUGUAGGCA
Molecule: ribosomal RNA, 119 nt
Filed under: Pteropus alecto (black flying fox)
Lineage: Eukaryota; Metazoa; Chordata; Mammalia; Chiroptera; Pteropodidae
Source: RNAcentral